GAUGAACGCUGGCGGCGUGCCUAACACAUGCAAGUCGAACGGAAAGGCGCUGGUUGCCGGGUACUCGAGUGGCGAACGGGUGUGUAACACGUGGGUGAUCUGCCCUGCACUUCUGGAUAAAACUGGGGGAAACGGUCUAAAAUCGGAUAGGAGCCAUUUUUCGUGUGGUGGUUGGAAAGUUUUUUCGGUUUUGGGUGAGCUCGCGGCCUAUCCGCUUGUUGGUGGGGUAAUGGGGUACCAAGGCGGCGACGGGUAGCCGGCCUGAGAGGGUGGACGGCGACAUUGAGACUGAGGGACGGCCCAGACGCCGACGGGAGGCAACAGUGGGGAAGAUUGCACAAGGGGCGCAGGCGUGAUGCAGCGACGCUGCGGGGGGGAUGACGGCCUUCUGGUUGUAAACUCCGUUCGCUAGGGACGAAGCGUUUUGUGACGGUACCUAGAUAAGAAGCACCGGCUAACUACGUG
This 465-nucleotide ribosomal RNA is filed under the name uncultured bacterium. RNAcentral describes it as "partial 16S ribosomal RNA". It matches the Rfam family "Bacterial small subunit ribosomal RNA", at positions 28 to 507 of the family's 1533-position model. The record is from RNAcentral.